GGCAGGCUGAGGCAGGAGAAUUGCUUGAACCUGGGAGGCGAAGGUUCUGGCACAUAUUGAGCACUUGCUGAGAGGCAAAGUUCAGGCCUUCUGCCCCAGGCUUUUGGAGAGGGAGUCUCGGGGCCCCCUGAGGGGCCUCACCUGCACCCCCCGCACUCACCCAUCUCCCCACUCUAUCCCCUGUCCGCUCCGUACAUGCCCGGCUCCAGCACCCGGAGCAGUGAAAGCUCAGGCACUACCCGCCGCCCGCCAGCCCGAGGGCCGCUCACCCAGGUUCUGCCCUCGCAGCACCGCGUACGGCCGGCUCCGCUCCAGCGGAUCCACGGGGCUCGGGGCCUCUGCCUCCCCCACCAGGAGGCUGCAGAGGCCAAGGUACAGCCACGGUAACGCUGGACGCAGCAUCUUCCCCAGCCCUGCAGAAGCAGAGAGGCCACUUCCGUCGCAAGCCCUGCCUCUGUCUCCUCCCAGGUCUCUCUGCGUCGCUGCCACCGCCCUUAGGGCGCGCGUCAUUGCCAUGGUAACUGUGCGUCCUGGUCUAAGUUCCGCUUCUGCCUAAGAUUUGUUCCGGAUUAACGUUCCUCAAUAACUAAUGUUUCCCCCGGACCAACUUUCCGUUCAGAUCAACUUUCCGUCUGUGCCAACGUUCGCCGCGAUUACCGUUCUGCUGUGUACCUGUUUUAAGAAGAAACAACAAGGAAGUGAAACCAAAGACGGGCAGCCCGGCGCCAGGCCCGAAACCAGGCCUGGGCCUGCCUGGCCUAAACCCAGUUUCAUGUGUGUGAAGAGACCACCAAACGUGUGUGAAGAGACCACCAAACAGGCUUUGUUUACUUCAGGCCAUCUGGAUGUAUACGUGCAAGUCACAGGGGAUGCGAUGGCUUGGCUUGGGCUCAGAGGCCUCACACCCAGUAGCUAAAAAUCAACUCAUAACUUAGAAACCGAUGUUAUUCAUAGAUUCCAGACAUUGUAUAGAAGAACGUUGUGAAACUCCCUGCCCUGUUCUGUUUCUCUCUUACCACUGGUGCAUGCAGCCCCUGUCACGUACCACCUACUUGCUCAAAUCAAUCACGACCCUUUCAUGUGAAAUCUUUAGUGCUGUGAGGAGCCCUUAAAAGGGACAGAAAUUGUGCAUUCGGGGAGCUCGGAUUUUAAGGCAGUAGCUUGCCGAUGCUGCCAGCUGAAUAAAGCCCUUCCUUCUACAACUCGGUGUCUGAGAGGUUUUGUCUGCGGCUCGUCCUGCUACAAGACUAGAAGAGUAGCAUAUUAUAUUCAGUAACUGUUUGCUGAAUACAUGAGGGAAUUGAGCUAAGUGUUUGGCCCAACACUGCACACACAAAGUGGCAGAGCUAGAAUUUGACCCAAGCAUAGUUUUGAAUCUGGAGGCUUUACCACCUCACACAUUGCCUCACCUCCUGAAGGUUUGAUUUGUAGUGGGAUUAGUAUCAUUCACCUCACAAUGGAUGUGCAAUACAAAUGUCAGAGGCGUGUGAACCAGAGCAACUCCAUCUUAAAUAGGAGCUGGGUAAAAUGAGGCUGAAACCUACUGGGCUGAAUUCCCAGACGGUUAAGGCAUUCUAAGUCACAGGAUGAUAUAGGAGGUCAGCACAAAAUACAGGUCAUAAAGACCUUGCUGAUAAAACAGGUUGCAGUAAAGGAGCCUGCUAUAAACCACCAAAACCAAAAUGGUGACAAGAGUGACCUCUGGUCGUCCUCACUGCUACACUCCCAGCAGCGCCAUGACAGUUUACAAAUGCCAUGGUAAUGUCAGGAAGUUACCCUAUAUGGUCUAAAAGGGGGAGGCAUGAAUAAUCCACCCCUCGUUUAGCGUAUCAUCAAGAAAUAAUCAUAAAAAUGCCUAACCAGCAGCCCUCGGGGGCUACUCUGUCUAUGGAGUAGCCAUUCUUUUAUUCCACUACUUUAUUAAUAAACUUGCUUUCACUUUGCACUGUGGACUUGCCCUAAUUCUUUCUUGCGCUAGAUCCAAGAACCCCCUCUUGGGGUCUGGAUCGGGACCCUUUUCCUGUAACGUAUUUCUGGCAACCACAGAAGGGACUAUAGUGCAGAAACCUGACCCAAUGGCUACCUUUGGGUAAGUGUUGGGGUCCGUUAACACUACCAGGUGUUCACCUGCAAAGGGAAGGUGUAAUCUGCCAUGUUAAAGACACUGUGCACCAACUUCUUCAUUUCUUUCUCCACGAUCUCCUCUUUCACUUCUGCUGUCCUUUUCACCUUGCUGUGCACAGAACUGAUGACAGGCUCUUUCCACUGGUACAGCUUGCCACUCACCAGAGCAAAGCUAAAUGGCAGGCACAGGAAAGCAUCAAUGGGAGGCAUAGCACAGUGGGGUGGGAGGCAGGCUCUGCAGGCCACUUCCGUUCCAAUCCUAGCUCGGCUGCAUGACUUGCUUCCGUGUGACUCGUUUUCCCUCUCUGCACAAUGGGAAGCAUAAUCAUACCUGCCUCAUGAAUUGUGAGGAUCAAAUGAUAUAUGUCUGCAAACUCCUUUGCCCAGUAUCUGGCACAUACUGAGCACUCGCUAUAGGAAAGCUGCUGCCCCCAAUCUCAUUUUUUUUUUUUAAAUGGAGUCUUGCUCUGUCGCCCAGGUUGGAGUGCAGUGGUGUGAUCUCGGCUCACUGCAACCUCCGCCCCCUAGGUUGAAGCGAUUCUCCUGCCUCAGCAUUCUGAGUAGCUGGGAUUACAGGCGCACGCCACCACACCAGGCUAAUUUUUGUAUUUUUAGUAGAGACAGGAUUUCACCAUGUUGGGCAGGCUGGUCUUGAACUCCUGACCUCAUGAUCUGCCUGCCUUGGCCUUCCAAAGUGUUGGGAUUACAGGUGUGAGCCACCAUGCCCGGCCCCCAAUCCCAUUCUUUAACAUUGCCUAACAUGGACCCUCAUGGAUAGGACAGCUUCUCAAGUCAUAAAGUCCCACUCCAGUGGGUUCACCAGCUUGCACCUUCUAGUCAAAGGCUGUGUCUGGUGCAUUUCCAGAAACACCCACCUGCUUUAUCAAUAACAUUGAAAAUGGCAGCUACUC
RNAcentral lists this long non-coding RNA (3035 nucleotides) under Homo sapiens (human). Its description in RNAcentral is "HSALNT0370431". The record is from RNAcentral. Lineage: Eukaryota; Metazoa; Chordata; Mammalia; Primates; Hominidae.